RNAcentral lists this ribosomal RNA (421 nucleotides) under uncultured bacterium. Its description in RNAcentral is "bacterial SSU rRNA". It matches the Rfam family "Bacterial small subunit ribosomal RNA", at positions 355 to 776 of the family's 1533-position model. The record is from RNAcentral.
UGGGGAAUUUUGCACAAUGGGCGAAAGCCUGAUGCAGCGACGCCGCGUGAGGGAUGACGGCUUUCGGGUUGUAAACCUCUUUUAUCCACCACGAAGGCCAGGUAUUCGCCUGGUUGACGGUAGUGGUUGAAUAAGCGCCGGCUAACUACGUGCCAGCAGCCGCGGUAAGACGUAGGGCGCGAGCGUUGUCCGGAUUUAUUGGGCGUAAAGGGCUCGUAGGCGGCCCGCUGCGUCCGCCGUGAAAGGCUUCGGCUUAACCGGGGUUUUGCGGUGGAUACGGGCGGGCUUGAGGCAAGUAGGGGAAACUGGAAUUCUACGUGUAGCGGUGAAAUGCGCAGAUAUGUGGAGGAACACCGGUGGCGAAGGCGGGUUUCUGGGCUUGUUCUGACGCUGAGGAGCGAAAGCGUGGGGAGCGAACAGG